ACAUCAUAUGGAGAAAAAGGUGGAACGCCGAGGCGUUUCUUAAAAGGGAAGAACGGUGAAAAUCCGUCGCGGUCCCGCCACUGUAAAUGGAGAGCGAGCUUUGAGCCACUGUGUCAAACGGGAAGGCUUAAGCAACUUGGUCAUCAUGAUCUCGUAUUUGCGUCUGAUCCAUAAGUCAGGAGACCUGCCUUUUUCAACAGCACGAC
RNAcentral lists this non-coding RNA (206 nucleotides) under Paenibacillus sabinae. The record is from RNAcentral. Lineage: Bacteria; Bacillati; Bacillota; Bacilli; Caryophanales; Paenibacillaceae.